Molecule: ribosomal RNA, 901 nt
Filed under: uncultured bacterium
Lineage: Bacteria
Description: bacterial SSU rRNA
Rfam family: Bacterial small subunit ribosomal RNA
Source: RNAcentral
AGAGUUUGAUCCUGGCUCAGGACGAACGCGGGCGGCGUGCCUAAUGCAUGCAAGUCGAGCGGGCUACAGUCUUCGGAUUGUAGCUAGCGGCGAACGGGUGAGUAACACGUAGGUAAUCUACCCUUCAGAGGAGGACAACCUCAGGAAACUGAGGCUAAACCUUCAUACGUUCACUGGUAGGGAUACUGGUGAAGAAAGAGUUACCGUUGAGGUGGCUGCUGAAGGAUGAGCCUGCGGCCCAUCAGGUAGUUGGUGAGGUAACGGCUCACCAAGCCGAAGACGGGUAACCGGUCUGAGAGGAUGUCCGGUCACACUGGGAGUGAGUCACGGCCCAGACUCCUACGGGAGGCAGCAGCAGGGAAUCUUGGGCAAUGGGCGAAAGCCUGACCCAGCGACGCCGCGUGGAGGAAGAAGUCCUUCGGGGCGUAAACUCCUGGACUGGGGGACGAGGAAGGACGGUACCCCCGUAGAAAGGGAUGGCCAACUACGUUCCAGCAGCCGCGGUAAAACGUAGGUCCCGAGCGUUGUUCGGAUUCAUAGGGUGUAAAGGGCGCGUAGGAGGUCGUAUGUGUCUCAUGAGAAAAAUCAGGGCUCAACUCUGAGAUUGCGUGGGAAACUACGCAGCUAGAGGACGGUAGAGGGGAGUGGAAUUCCCGGUGUAGCGGUAAAAAGUGUAGAUAUCGGGAGGAACACCCGUGGCGAAGGCGGCUCUCUGGGCCGAUCCUGACGCUGAGGCGCGAAAGCUAGGGGAGCGAACCGGAUCAGAUACCCGGGUAGUCCUAGCCGUAAACGAUGGGUGCUAGGUGUUGGGGGGUAAAGACCCUUCAGUGCCGACGCCAACGCGAUAAGCAUCCCACCUGGGGAGUACGGCCGCAAGGUUGAAACUCAAAUGAAUAGACGG